GAUGAACGCUGGCGGCGUGCCUAAUACAUGCAAGUCGAGCGAACGGACGAGAAGCUUGCUUCUCUUAUGUUAGCGGCGGACGGGUGAGUAACACGUGGAUAACCUACCUAUAAGCCUGGGAUAACUUCGGGAAACCGGAGCUAAUACCGGAUAAUAUUUUGAACCGCAUGGUUCAAAAGUGAAAGACGGUCUUGCUGUCACUUAUAGAUGGAUCCGCGCUGCAUUAGCUAGUUGGUAAGUUAACGGCUUACCAAGGCAACGAUGCAUAGCCGACCUGAGAGGGUGAUCGGCCACACUGGAACUGAAACACGGUCAAGACUCCUACGGGAGGAAGAAGUAGGGAAUCUUCGGCAAUGGGCGAAAGCCUGACGGAGCAACGCCGCGUGAGUGAUGAAGGUCUUCGGAUCGUAAAACUCUGUUAUUAGGGAAGAACAUAUGUGUAAGUAAAUGUGCACAUCUUGACGGUACCUAAUCAGAAAGCCACGGCUAACUACGUG
RNAcentral lists this ribosomal RNA (497 nucleotides) under uncultured bacterium. Its description in RNAcentral is "partial 16S ribosomal RNA". It matches the Rfam family "Bacterial small subunit ribosomal RNA", at positions 28 to 507 of the family's 1533-position model. The record is from RNAcentral.